AAACCAUGCACCGAAGCUGCGGCAGCGACGCUUAUGCGUUGUUGGGUAGGGGAGCGUUCUGUAAGCCUGUGAAGGUGUGCUGUGAGGCAUGCUGGAGGUAUCAGAAGUGCGAAUGCUGACAUAAGUAACGAUAAAGCGGGUGAAAAGCCCGCUCGCCGGAAGACCAAGGGUUCCUGUCCAACGUUAAUCGGGGCAGGGUGAGUCGACCCCUAAGGCGAGGCCGAAAGGCGUAGUCGAUGGGAAACAGGUUAAUAUUCCUGUACUUGGUGUUACUGCGAAGGGGGGACGGAGAAGGCUAUGUUGGCCGGGCGACGGUUGUCCCGGUUUAAGCGUGUAGGCUGGUUUUCCAGGCAAAUCCGGAAAACCAAGGCUGAGGCGUGAUGACGAGGCACUACGGUGCUGAAGCAACAAAUGCCCUGCUUCCAGGAAAAGCCUCUAAGCAUCAGGUAACAUCAAAUCGUACCCCAAACCGACACAGGUGGUCAGGUAGAGAAUACCAAGGCGCUUGAGAGAACUCGGGUGAAGGAACUAGGCAAAAUGGUGCCGUAACUUCGGGAGAAGGCACGCUGAUAUGUAGGUGAAGCGACUUGCUCGUGGAGCUGAAAUCAGUCGAAGAUACCAGCUGGCUGCAACUGUUUAUUAAAAACACAGCACUGUGCAAACACG
This 666-nucleotide ribosomal RNA is filed under the name Escherichia coli. Its description in RNAcentral is "partial 23S ribosomal RNA". It matches the Rfam family "Bacterial large subunit ribosomal RNA", at positions 1184 to 1833 of the family's 2925-position model. Lineage: Bacteria; Pseudomonadati; Pseudomonadota; Gammaproteobacteria; Enterobacterales; Enterobacteriaceae. The record is from RNAcentral.